AUCGAAACUUCGAACGCAUCUUGCGCUCCCGGGAUAUGCCUGGGAGCAUGCUUGUCGGGGAGGAGGAGGCGAAAACUCGCCCACAGCUUUGGGUUCGAUCUCGAUCUCAAGGCGGUGGAGCGGAAUCUGAGUGUUCCGGGGAGCGGUGGUGUGGUGUGUAUUUUUGUACAAGCUGCCUGCUCGUCCCCUGAGUCCACCAAAGCCUAGAGAGCUACCGAUUGUCCAGGCUUCUAUUGUCUUUGCGGCGCUGUAGACCGGUCCAUCUUGCGUCCUCCGGAAGAUCCGUUGUUGACCGCGCCCCCUCUCACGGGGCGGGGACACCGACGAGUCGCCAGGGAUGUGCGCGGGUGACCAUGAGGCCUCGCUGGAGGCAAGUUUACCUUGCGUCCUCCGGAGGAUCCGUUGUUGACGGCGCCCCUCUCGCGGGGUGGGGACACGACGGGUCGCCGGGGAUGUGCGCGGGCGGCUUUGAGGCUCGUGGACGGUAGGUAGUCUCGAGAGUGUGCCGGUGAGAGGCCGGUGAUGAUGAUUAUGCCAUACCCCCGAUCAAGCAAGAAGACCCGCUGAAUUUAAGCAUAUACUAAGCGGAGGA
RNAcentral lists this small RNA (592 nucleotides) under Sargassum sp. 2 MS-2013. RNAcentral's name for it is "eukaryotic LSU rRNA". Lineage: Eukaryota; Phaeophyceae; Fucales; Sargassaceae. The record is from RNAcentral.